CCUACGGGAGGCAGCAGUAGGGAAUCUUCCACAAUGGGCGAAAGCCUGAUGGAGCAACGCCGCGUGUGUGAAGAAGGGUUUCGGCUCGUAAAACUCUGUUGUGGAGAAGAAGACAUUGAGAGUAACUGUUCAGUGUGUGACGGUAUCUACCAGAAAACACGGCUAAAUACGCGCCC
This 176-nucleotide ribosomal RNA is filed under the name Weissella sp. D2. Its description in RNAcentral is "partial 16S ribosomal RNA". It matches the Rfam family "Bacterial small subunit ribosomal RNA", at positions 338 to 510 of the family's 1533-position model. Lineage: Bacteria; Bacillati; Bacillota; Bacilli; Lactobacillales; Lactobacillaceae. The record is from RNAcentral.